GACGAACGCUGGCGGCGUGCUUAACACAUGCAAGUCGAACGGUGAAGGGACCGGUUUUUGCUGGUUCUGGAUGAGUGGCGAACGGGUGAGUAACACGUGAGUAACCUGCCCCCCUCUUCUGGAUAACCGCAUGAAAGUGUGGCCAAAACGGGAUAUUCUGCGCCUGCUGCAUGGUGGGUGUGGGAAAGAUAUUGUUUCGGGGGGGGAUGGGCUCGCGGCCUAUCAGCUUGUUGGUGGGGUGAUGGCCUACCAAGGCGGGGACGGGUAGCCGGCCUGAGAGGGUCGACGGUCACACUGGGCCUGAGCCACCGCCCAGACUCCUACGGGAGGCAGCCGCGGGGAAUAUCGCACGAUGGGCGCGAGCCUGUUGCAGCGCCGCCGCGUGAGGGAUGGAGUCCUUCGGGUUGUAAACCUCUUUCGCCAGUGAAGCAGGCCUGUCCCUUGUGUGGGUGGGUUGACGGUAGCUGGAUACGAAGCGCCGGCUAACUACGUG
RNAcentral lists this ribosomal RNA (493 nucleotides) under uncultured bacterium. Its description in RNAcentral is "partial 16S ribosomal RNA". It matches the Rfam family "Bacterial small subunit ribosomal RNA", at positions 28 to 507 of the family's 1533-position model. The record is from RNAcentral.